AUUGAACGCUGGCGGCAGGCCUAACACAUGCAAGUCGAGCGAGCGGCGGACGGGUGAGUAAUGUAUGGGAAACUGCAUGAUGGAGGGGGAUCACUACUGGAAACGGUAGCUAAUACCGCAUACCAUCAGAUGUGCCCAGAUGGGAGUGGCUAGUAGGUGGGGUAAUGGCUCACCUAGGCGACGAUCCCUAGCUGGUCUGAGAGGAUGACCAGGCACACUGUAACUGAGACACGGUCCAGACUCCGACGGGAGGCAGCAGUGGGGAAUUGUGCGCAAUGGGCGCAAGCCUGAUGCAGCCAUGCCGCGUGUGUGAAGAAGGCCUUCGGGUUGUAAAGCACUGUCAGCGGGGAGGCGUUACCCACAGAGGAAGCACCGGCUAACUCCGUGCCAGCAGCCGCGGUAAUUC
Molecule: ribosomal RNA, 406 nt
Filed under: uncultured bacterium
Lineage: Bacteria
Description: partial 16S ribosomal RNA
Rfam family: Bacterial small subunit ribosomal RNA
Source: RNAcentral